Molecule: ribosomal RNA, 252 nt
Filed under: uncultured bacterium
Lineage: Bacteria
Description: partial 16S ribosomal RNA
Rfam family: Bacterial small subunit ribosomal RNA
Source: RNAcentral
UACGUAGGGGGCGAGCGUUGUCCGGAAUUACUGGCGUAAAGGGCGCGCAGGCGGCCGUGUAAGUCCGCUGUGAAAGACCGGGGCUCAACCCCGGGGUGUCAGCGGGGACUGCAGGGCUGGAGUCUCGGAGAGGGGUGCGGAAUACCUGGUGUAGCGGUGGAAUGCGUAGAGAUCAGGUGGAACACCGAUGGCGAAGGCAGCACCCUGGACGAGUACUGACGCUGAGGCGCGAAAGCGUGGGGAGCGAACGGG